This 881-nucleotide ribosomal RNA is filed under the name uncultured archaeon. RNAcentral's name for it is "bacterial SSU rRNA". It matches the Rfam family "Archaeal small subunit ribosomal RNA", at positions 133 to 1016 of the family's 1478-position model. The record is from RNAcentral.
CGGGAACUGGGUAUAAUACCCGAUAGUUCUGGGAUGCUGGAAUGCUCCCAGGACGAAAGCUCCGGCGACUGAGGAUGGGUCUGCGGCCUAUCAGGUAGUAGUGGGUGUAAUGUACCUACUAGCCUACGACGGGUACGGGUUGUGAGAGCAAGAGCCCGGAGAUGGAUUCUGAGACACGAAUCCAGGCCCUACGGGGUGCAGCAGGCGCGAAAACUUUACAAUGCCGGCAACGGCGAUAAGGGGACCUCGAGUGCCAGGAUACAAUCUUGGCUGUCGCGAUGCCUAAAAAGCAUUGCAUAGCAAGGGCCGGGCAAGACCGGUGCCAGCCGCCGCGGUAACACCGGCGGCUCGAGUGGUAACCGCUAUUAUUGGGUCUAAAGGGUCUGUAGCCGGCCGGAUAAGUCUCUUGGGAAAUCCAGCAGCUUAACUGUUGGGCUUUCAGGAGAUACUGUUCGGCCCGAGGCCGGGAGAGGUGAGAGGUACUUCAGGGGUAGGGGUGAAAUCUUGUAAUCCUUGAAGGACCACCAGUGGCGAAGGCGUCUCACCAGAACGGUCCUGACGGCAAGGGACGAAAGCUAGGGGCACGAACCGGAUUAGAUACCCGGGUAGUCCUAGCCGUAAACGAUACUCGCUAGGUGUCAGCCACGGUGCGACCGUGGUUGGUGCCGUAGGGAAGCCGUGAAGCGAGCCACCUGGGAAGUACGGCCGCAAGGCUGAAACUUAAAGGAAUUGGCGGGGGAGCACUACAACGGGUGGAGCCUGCGGUUUAAUUGGAUUCAACGCUGGGAAGCUUACCGGGAUCGACAGCGAUAUGAAGGCCAGGCUGAAGACCUUGCCGGAUUAGCUGAGAGGUGGUGCAUGGCCGUCGUCAGUUCGUACUG